RNAcentral lists this long non-coding RNA (527 nucleotides) under Manacus vitellinus (golden-collared manakin). Its description in RNAcentral is "lncRNA (ENSMVIG00005014826.1)". Lineage: Eukaryota; Metazoa; Chordata; Aves; Passeriformes; Pipridae. The record is from RNAcentral.
CACUGAGUGUUACAUCCUGCCACUAUUUAUUUUGUAAAAAAAUACUCCCAAGUUGGUUACUUUGUUGGUUGGAGCUCCCUUGAGUGGGUGACUGGUGUUGUUACGAAAUCCACUCCCUUAUGUAAGGGACAUGGUGUGCGGUGCCCUCUUUGUGCUCGUCCUGCAGCUGUCAGGAUUUAUUAUUGCUCCCACUGUGGGGAUGUUGGCAAUGUGUGACACAGGCUUCGGGACACGCUCCUGACACAGGCUUCGGGACACGCUCCUGCCUGUGGCUGCCCUGGAGGGAAGAGACCAGGCAGAUAAGGACAUUGCUGUUUGAGCACCAUCUUCAGAAAGCUGCAAGAGAUUCAGGCAGGCUUGUGUUUCUCUGUCCCAGAGUUUGUGACAGUAUGGAUUUGACAUCAUCACAACAUAAUUAUCUACAAAAUGAACUGUUACAGAACUGGUGGCAGAUUUGUUCCCUCACCAAUCUUUCUGCAGGUAUCCUCUUGACUUUGGGAUAUAUAGAUAGCUAUUUUAUACAUAUA